AGUGAACGCUGGCGGUAGGCCUAACACAUGCAAGUCGAACGGCAGCACAGUAAGAGCUUGCUCUUACGGGUGGCGAGUGGCGGACGGGUGAGGAAUACAUCGGAAUCUACUUUUUCGCGGGGGAUAACGUAGGGAAACUUACGCUAAUACCGCAUACGACCUACGGGUGAAAGCAGGGGAUCUUCGGACCUUGCGCGAUUGAAUGAGCCGAUGUCGGAUUAGCUAGUUGGCGGGGUAAAGGCCAACCAAGGCGACGAUCCGUAGCUGGUCUGAGAGGAUGAUCAGCCACACUGGAACUGAGACACGGUCCAGACUCCUACGGGAGGCAGCAGUGGGGAAUAUUGGACAAUGGGCGCAAGCCUGAUCCAGCCAUACCGCGUGGGUGAAGAAGGCCUUCGGGUUGUAAAGCCCUUUUGUUGGGAAAGAAAAGCAGCAGGUUAAUACCCCGCUGUUCUGACGGUACCCAAAGAAUAAGCACCGGCUAACUUCGUG
RNAcentral lists this ribosomal RNA (492 nucleotides) under uncultured bacterium. Its description in RNAcentral is "partial 16S ribosomal RNA". It matches the Rfam family "Bacterial small subunit ribosomal RNA", at positions 29 to 507 of the family's 1533-position model. The record is from RNAcentral.